This 1037-nucleotide ribosomal RNA is filed under the name Pontibacillus sp. R427. RNAcentral describes it as "bacterial SSU rRNA". It matches the Rfam family "Bacterial small subunit ribosomal RNA", at positions 56 to 1063 of the family's 1533-position model. Lineage: Bacteria; Bacillati; Bacillota; Bacilli; Caryophanales; Bacillaceae. The record is from RNAcentral.
UGCAAGUCGAGCGCGUGAAACAACAUGAUCCCUUCGGGGUGAUUGUUGUGGAUCGAGCGGCGGACGGGUGAGUAACACGUGGGUAACCUACCUGAGAGAUCGGGAUAACCCCGGGAAACCGGGGCUAAUACCGAAUAAUCGUUGGAACCGCAUGGUUCCAACGUAAAAGGCGGCUUUGCCGUCACUCCCAGAUGGACCCGCGGCGCAUUAGCUAGUUGGUAAGGUAACGGCUUACCAAGGCAACGAUGCGUAGCCGACCUGAGAGGGUGAUCGGCCACACUGGGACUGAGACACGGCCCAGACUCCUACGGGAGGCAGCAGUAGGGAAUCUUCCGCAAUGGACGAAAGUCUGACGGAGCAACGCCGCGUGAACGAUGAAGGUCUUCGGAUCGUAAAGUUCUGUUGUUAGGGAAGAACAAGUACCAGAGGAAAUGCUGGUACCUUGACGGUACCUAACCAGAAAGCCACGGCUAACUACGUGCCAGCAGCCGCGGUAAUACGUAGGUGGCAAGCGUUGUCCGGAAUUAUUGGGCGUAAAGCGCGCGCAGGCGGUUCCUUAAGUCUGAUGUGAAAGCCCACAGCUCAACUGUGGAGGGCCAUUGGAAACUGGGGAACUUGAGUACAGAAGAGGAGAGCGGAAUUCCACGUGUAGCGGUGAAAUGCGUAGAUAUGUGGAGGAACACCAGUGGCGAAGGCGGCUCUCUGGUCUGUAACUGACGCUGAGGCGCGAAAGCGUGGGUAGCAAACAGGAUUAGAUACCCUGGUAGUCCACGCCGUAAACGUUGAGUGCUAGGUGUUAGGGGGUUUCCGCCCCUUAGUGCUGAAGUUAACGCAUUAAGCACUCCGCCUGGGGAGUACGGCCGCAAGGCUGAAACUCAAAAGAAUUGACGGGGGCCCGCACAAGCGGUGGAGCAUGUGGUUUAAUUCGAAGCAACGCGAAGAACCUUACCAGGUCUUGACAUCUUCCGCUAUCCCUAGAGAUAGGGAGUUCCCUUCGGGGACGGAAUGACAGUGGUGCAUGGUUGUCGUCAGCUCGU